Molecule: long non-coding RNA, 579 nt
Organism: Cyprinus carpio carpio
Lineage: Eukaryota; Metazoa; Chordata; Actinopteri; Cypriniformes; Cyprinidae
Source: Ensembl
GAUAUUUUCCCCAUGGUGCUGAAUUUAUCUGGUGCUUCCAUACCCAGCGACAGAGUCAUUGAUGGUCAUGAUCUCUUUCCUCUGCUGCAAGGGCAAGUGAAGCGUUCUGAACAUGAAUUUAUGCCCAACUGAAUGCCAUCAGAUGGCACCCACCUAACAGUGAUGCAAUCUGGAAGGUCUUUUUCUUUACCUCGAUUUCUACCCAGAGAACAGCUCUGCCUGCUUCAACACUCAUAUCUGCUUCUGCAUCAAGCCAUGACCCUCCGCUGCUUUAUGACCUGUCAAGAGACCCGUCAGAAAGCACCCCCCUGAGUCCAGACACCGAGCCCCAGUUCUGCUAAGUUCUGGAGGUCAUAAGGGCAGCAGUAAGCUGUCAUUCACAGAGUCUGAAGCCUGUUCCACUUCAAGUUUCUCCUCUGCAAAUAGUAUGGAAGCCCUGGCUCCAGCUCUGCUGCUCAUCUCUCAGUCAGCUUUGCACAUGUGAACGAGAUCAUCAGAUAGAGAAGCUUUGAAACGAGCUUCAAAAAGAAUAGUCAGUAGGUCUCUGCAGGACAGUAAUGGGAGUUACGAAAUUGGUGG